RNAcentral lists this ribosomal RNA (254 nucleotides) under uncultured bacterium. Its description in RNAcentral is "partial 16S ribosomal RNA". It matches the Rfam family "Bacterial small subunit ribosomal RNA", at positions 524 to 776 of the family's 1533-position model. The record is from RNAcentral.
UACGGGGGGAGCAAGCGUUGUUCGGAUUUACUGGGCGUAAAGGGCGCGUAGGCGGCUAGCACAGGUCAGUUGUGAAAUCUCCGAGCUUAACUCGGAAAGGUCAACUGAUACUGUGCGGCUAGAGUGCGGAAGGGGCAACUGGAAUUCUUGGUGUAGCGGUGAAAUGCGUAGAUAUCAAGAGGAACACCUGCGGCGAAGGCGGGUUGCUGGGCCGACACUGACGCUGAGGCGCGAAAGCCAGGGGAGCGAACGGG